Molecule: long non-coding RNA, 1074 nt
Organism: Cyprinus carpio (common carp)
Lineage: Eukaryota; Metazoa; Chordata; Actinopteri; Cypriniformes; Cyprinidae
Source: Ensembl
AUGUGCUACACGCAUCCUAAGAAAUCGCUGCAAUGUGACGAUUGUUUGAGAUAUUGUAGAUCUGAUUUAUGUUAUGAAAUGCAUAAACAAGCACAAAGUGACGGUUCGAGGUCUCAGUGCGAUCUCAUAAAAUACUGUGACAAAUGUUACAGACAGUACAGAGCAAAAUGGUCUGGUGAACUAUUAACGCACAAAUGUGCACCAUCGAGAUUUGUGCAUUGCGCUGAAGUUCUGAUGGAUGAAGGUCACCAUUGUUGCUAUAUUCAGCCUGUCAAACCUAGCGAACAUAGCCAAGACUAUAUUUAUUUUGACUUCGAAAUGAUGUAUGAAAACGGUAGGCAUACGGCAAAUUAUAUUUGUGCAGCCACGCAAGCUGGGGAUGAAUUUAUGGCAAAAGGUGUAGACUGUGUAGAUCAGAUGGUUAAGCAUUUCAGAUGUCUGAAAUUUGAGAGUUUCACAUUUAUCGCCCACAAUUCUUCGGGUUUCGACUCUUUUAUAUUGCUCGAGUAUUUCACUAGUCAGGGACUAACGCCAAAAAUUAUACUCCAAGGCUGUAGACUUGUUUACAUGUAUGACCAAGCCUUUAAACAGAGAUACAUAGACAGCUAUAGCUUUUUGCCGAUGAAACUGUCAAAGAUGACAUCUGCUUUAAACAUAAACACCAGCGAAAAAGGAUUCUUUCCCCAUCAUUUUAAUCGCUUGCAGAAUGCAAAUUAUAUAGGCCCGUAUCCAUCAAAGAUAUAUUAUGGAUAUCAGACGAUGUCUGACGCUGAACGCGUGAAAUUUGAUUCGUGGUACGAAAGCAUGACAGGAGAGGUGUUUGACUUCAAAAAGCAACUAGCCUUGUACUGCAAGAAUGACGUUGUUUUGCUGCGAGAGGCUUGUAUGAAAUACAGAAAAGAGUUUAUAGAGUGUACAAACGUAGACCCUUUCGGUUGUACAACGUUAGCCGGAUGUGCUAUGAAAGUGUUCAAAACUCUUUUUUUAACCAAAGACACAAUUGCCCUAACGCAAAAAAAAUGCCUACAUCAAUCAGUACAAAUCUUACUCAAACACUUCCAUCCAAUGGUUUGA